AAAGUCGUAACAAGGUAACCGUAGGUGAACCUGCGGUUGGAUCAUUAUAAAAUGAACUUUUAGGCCCAGCUCAUGCUUUGCAUUUGUAGCUGGUCUAAACUUAACCUUUGUGCACUGAAAAUCGUAUCUGGGUCGUGCUUUUUGCCUUCCCAACCAUAUAAACCAUUACUUUUUAUUUUUUGUCUGACUUUUGUAUUCUAACGAAUCAAAUACAACUUUUAACAACGGAUCUCUUGGCUCUC
RNAcentral lists this unclassified non-coding RNA (242 nucleotides) under Chytridiomycota sp. Its description in RNAcentral is "partial contains small subunit ribosomal RNA, internal transcribed spacer 1, and 5.8S ribosomal RNA". The stretch from base 1 to 47 matches the Rfam family "Eukaryotic small subunit ribosomal RNA", at positions 1785 to 1831 of the family's 1831-position model. Lineage: Eukaryota; Fungi; Chytridiomycota. The record is from RNAcentral.